RNAcentral lists this ribosomal RNA (809 nucleotides) under Richtersius cf. coronifer. RNAcentral describes it as "eukaryotic LSU rRNA". It matches the Rfam family "Eukaryotic large subunit ribosomal RNA", at positions 1147 to 1871 of the family's 3401-position model. The record is from RNAcentral. Lineage: Eukaryota; Metazoa; Tardigrada; Eutardigrada; Parachela; Richtersiusidae.
GAACUGGCGCUGUGGGAUGAACCGAACGCUGAGUUAUGGCGCCCGACGAGACGCUCAUGAGAUCCCAGAAAAGGUGUUGGUUGCUAUAGACAGCAGGACGGUGGCCAUGGAAGUCGGAACCCGCUAAGGAGUGUGUAACAACUCACCUGCCGAAGCAACUAGCCCUGAAAAUGGAUGGCGCUAGAGCGUCUGGCCUAUACUCGGCCGUUGCAGCAGCAGCAACGACAGUCAAGCUGCAACGAGUAGGAGGGUCGCGGCGGUGGCGACGAAGGCUUACGGGCGUGAGCCUGGCUGGAGCCGCCGCCGGUGCAGAUCUUGGUGGUAGUAGCAAAUACUCAAGCGAGAACCUUGAGGACUGAAGUGGAGAAGGGUUCCAUGUGAACAGCAGUUGAACAUGGGUCAGUCGAUCCUAAGGUAUCGGCGAAAGCCGUUCAGAAGCGGUGUGGAUAGUGUCUUCGGGCACUGGUUACUGUGUUGGCUUUACGGUUUAUGCAGUGAUCACCGCACCUACCGAAAGGGAAUCGGGUUAAUAUUCCCGAACCCGGCAUCGGAUAUUGGUCCAACUUCGGUUAGACACAUGCGGUAACGCAAAUGAACUCGGAAACGCUGACACGUGCCCUAGAAAGAGUUGUCUUUUCUUCAUAAGGCACAGGCUCCCUGGAAUCGGAUCAUCCGGCGAUAGGGAGAUGGUGUCCGUAGAGCACCGCGGUUCUUGCGGUGUCUGGUGCGCACGUGUCGGUCCUUGAAAAUCCGAGGGAGAGUGUGAUUUUCGUGCCGGAUCGUACCCAUAUCCGCAGCAGGUCUCCAAG